AGAAGAAGAAGCCGGCCGGCGGUGGAGGAGGCGGUGGGCGUCAAUCCUCUCAAUCCGAGGUAUAGCGAGUACGACCCCAAGCAGAGGGAGUACGUGUACACCCGCUUCUGCUUCGAUCCCAGGCUCGAUCUCGACAAGGAGUCCCCUUAUGGCCCAAUGCGCCAUACUCACAAAACCUUCGGAGAGGGAUUCCCGUUGUUUCACUCAGCAAAUAUUCUCUCAGUCAAGAUUGUUUCUUCUGACUAUGGCUACCCACUUAAUGUCUAUGGUACGGUAAUAGCCAGGGAUGAUUUGGAUCGCAAAUGUGUCUAUUUAUUCCGGCGCGACAAGGACAAUCACCAGUUCAUCACCUCAGAGGACAAUUCAUUGGUUUUGACUGAUCCAAAGAGAGGACUUGCGGUCUGUGGUUCGCUAUUCUUUGAAAUCAAUCUGAAGGUUAAGGAUGUGCAUGGGAGGGAGGUCAAGGAUGAAAGGCUCAGCAAAGGCAUGCUGGAUAUUAAUGGCAUCACAAGACAGACAUCAAACUUCAAAUAUGGGGUCGAAACAGGCACGCUUGUCAGCAUGCACAGCACAUUGGAGAUGAACUUUGCAUUUGUUAGGGACGCGGUCGAGGGCACUGUCGAGAUCAGGAUCCUUGAGGGUCCUGUUGAUUUCCAUGGCAAGAUCAUUGCUACCCCCACCAGAGUUCCAUGUGAAAUUGUGCUACAUGAUAGCAGAGUGAAUGGCUUGCUCACUGCCGGCGAUGAUCAAGUCAUGCGAACAGCGCGCCGCGUGGUAUGUGUAUCUGUAGGUGAGAUGCUCCUGGUGACUGUUGCUCCUGAAGGUGGCGAUGAGCUCUCACCCCACACCGUUAGGUUUGCUUCAAAGCUCAACGGUUAUGCCGCCGAGAACAUGAUGUGUGGUAACUAUAAGAUGCAAGUGAAGGUCACUUGGUCGAUUGUGAUGUAA
RNAcentral lists this ribosomal RNA (948 nucleotides) under Triticum aestivum (bread wheat). RNAcentral's name for it is "partial small subunit ribosomal RNA". Lineage: Eukaryota; Viridiplantae; Streptophyta; Magnoliopsida; Poales; Poaceae. The record is from RNAcentral.